This 216-nucleotide ribosomal RNA is filed under the name Glomeromycotina sp. Its description in RNAcentral is "partial small subunit ribosomal RNA". The stretch from base 40 to 216 matches the Rfam family "Eukaryotic small subunit ribosomal RNA", at positions 686 to 864 of the family's 1831-position model. Lineage: Eukaryota; Fungi; Glomeromycota. The record is from RNAcentral.
GGGUCAGUAGGUUGGUCGUGCCACCGGUACGUACUGGUCUCACUGAUUCCUCCUUCCUGAAGAACCGUAAUGCCAUUAAUUUGGUGUUGCGGGGAAACAGGACUGUUACUUUGAAAAAAUUAGGGUGUUUAAAGCAAGCUAACGCUUGAAUACAUUAGCAUGGAAUAAUGAAAUAGGACGAUCGAUCCUAUUUUGCUGGUUUCUAGGAUUGACGUA